This 237-nucleotide long non-coding RNA is filed under the name Elaeis guineensis (African oil palm). Its description in RNAcentral is "long non-coding RNA (EGUI_LNC001672)". The record is from RNAcentral. Lineage: Eukaryota; Viridiplantae; Streptophyta; Magnoliopsida; Arecales; Arecaceae.
CCCCACCAAACUUUCCACAAUUUAUUAUAAAAGCAUUUUAAAAAAUUAUAGUGAUGUUUUACAAGAGAAUAUGGAAAAAGAAAACAUAAAAUGAGUAAGUAGAGAAGAAAAGACUUAUGACUUGGUCUUCUUCCUCGCUAAAAACAUGCUGGCAAUAAUAAAUUUAGCCAGUCUGGAAUUUGGACCACCAUUAUUGAUGGAGUUGGUCAAGCAAAAUGGUACAGCCCAUUGGAUUGG